UACUUUCAGCGGGGAGGAAGGCGAUAAGGUUAAUAACCUUGUCGAUUGACGUUACCCGCAGAAGAAGCACCGGCUAACUCCGUGCCAGCAGCCGCGGUAAUACGGAGGGUGCAAGCGUUAAUCGGAAUUACUGGGCGUAAAGCGCACGCAGGCGGUCUGUCAAGUCGGAUGUGAAAUCCCCGGGCUCAACCUGGGAACUGCAUUCGAAACUGGCAGGCUAGAGUCUUGUAGAGGGGGGUAGAAUUCCAGGUGUAGCGGUGAAAUGCGUAGAGAUCUGGAGGAAUACCGGUGGCGAAGGC
RNAcentral lists this ribosomal RNA (299 nucleotides) under Enterobacter sp. 12B.Ch. RNAcentral describes it as "partial 16S ribosomal RNA". It matches the Rfam family "Bacterial small subunit ribosomal RNA", at positions 431 to 722 of the family's 1533-position model. The record is from RNAcentral. Lineage: Bacteria; Pseudomonadati; Pseudomonadota; Gammaproteobacteria; Enterobacterales; Enterobacteriaceae.